This 468-nucleotide ribosomal RNA is filed under the name uncultured bacterium. RNAcentral's name for it is "partial 16S ribosomal RNA". It matches the Rfam family "Bacterial small subunit ribosomal RNA", at positions 28 to 507 of the family's 1533-position model. The record is from RNAcentral.
GACGAACGCUGGCGGCGUGCCUAACACAUGCAAGUCGAACGGAAAGGCCCUGCUUUUGUGGGGUGCUCGAGUGGCGAACGGGUGAGUAACACGUGAGUAACCUGCCCCUGACUUUGGGAUAACUUCAGGAAACUGGGGCUCUUACCGGAUAGGAUCUCCUGCUGCAUGGUGGGCGUUGGAUAGUUUCGGUGGUUGGGGAUGUAAUGGCGGCUUAUCGGCUUGGUGGUUGGGUAGUGGCUUACCAAGGCUUUGACGGGUAGCCGGCCUGAGAGGAUAACCGGCCACAUUAGGACUGAGAUACGGCACAGACUCGUACGGGACGCAACGGAGGGGAGUAUUACACAGUAGGCGGAAGGCAGAUGCGACAACGCCGCGUGCGGGAUGAGGGGCUUGGGGUUGUGAACCACUGUCGCCUGUGACGAGGCGUGAGUGACGGUAAUGGGUAAAGAAGCACCGGCUAACUACGUG